Poecilia latipinna (sailfin molly) is the source of this 115-nucleotide long non-coding RNA. RefSeq lists it as uncharacterized. The record is from RefSeq and is a predicted model, not a curated record. Lineage: Eukaryota; Metazoa; Chordata; Actinopteri; Cyprinodontiformes; Poeciliidae. The transcript is spliced from 4 exons.
UAACAGGGUUUUCCCCAGAAAACUUGCUAAACCAGGUGGUCGGGGUGCCGAGGCAGUCCACUGUGUUUUUGUAUUAAAAGAUGUUAAGUUGACAGGAAAUUUAAAAAUAUGACUU